AAAAAAAAAAAAGAAAAAUCUUAAUCUCCUGAGACUUGUGAUGUUUUCAAAGGAGCCAUGUUU
Small nucleolar RNA from Callithrix jacchus (white-tufted-ear marmoset), 63 nucleotides. Its record names the gene SNORD42. It matches the Rfam family "Small nucleolar RNA SNORD42". From Rfam's summary of the family: snoRNA U42 is found in intron 3 of the ribosomal protein L23a (RPL23a) gene in humans and is also present in mice. U42 is a member of the C/D class of snoRNA which contain C (UGAUGA) and D (CUGA) box motifs. NCBI's taxonomy places the organism in Eukaryota, Metazoa, Chordata, Mammalia, Primates, Cebidae. The record is from Ensembl.